CAGGUUCAACUGCAGCAGUCUGGGGCUGAGCUGGUGAGGCCUGGGGCUUCAGUGACGCUGUCCUGCAAGGCUUCGGGCUACACAUUUACUGACUAUGAAAUGCACUGGGUGAAGCAGACACCUGUGCAUGGCCUGGAAUGGAUUGGAGCUAUUGAUCCUGAAACUGGUGGUACUGCCUACAAUCAGAAGUUCAAGGGCAAGGCCAUACUGACUGCAGACAAAUCCUCCAGCACAGCCUACAUGGAGCUCCGCAGCCUGACAUCUGAGGACUCUGCCGUCUAUUACUGUACAAGA
This is a non-coding RNA of Mus musculus (house mouse), 294 nucleotides long. The record is from the annotation of a RefSeq genome assembly. NCBI's taxonomy places the organism in Eukaryota, Metazoa, Chordata, Mammalia, Rodentia, Muridae.